Molecule: non-coding RNA, 69 nt
Filed under: Pseudomonas moraviensis
Lineage: Bacteria; Pseudomonadati; Pseudomonadota; Gammaproteobacteria; Pseudomonadales; Pseudomonadaceae
Also listed under: 1 other name
Description: Xanthine-I sequence
Rfam family: Xanthine riboswitch aptamer (NMT1 RNA)
About the family: Later it was reported as a ncRNA that recognised Xanthine.
Source: RNAcentral
GAAUCGAGUAGAAGCGGUCAGCACAGAGGGCUCUCAACAGAACCCGAGGUGCAGGGCAUUGCUCUGGCG